AAGUCGUAACAAGGUUUCCGUAGGUGAACCUGCGGAAGGAUCAUUACCGAGGGAGGGGCUCCGCGCCCCCGGGGGUUUCGGCCCCCAACUCUUCACCCACUGUUUACCUACCUUUGUUGCUUUGGCGGGCCCUGGGGCACGCCCCACGCUGGCUUUCGGGCCUGCGAGCGCCCGCAGCCAAUAGUCCUUAAUCUUAGUGUCCGAGCAAAAAACACAAUAGUAAAAA
Molecule: unclassified non-coding RNA, 226 nt
Filed under: plant metagenome
Description: partial contains small subunit ribosomal RNA and internal transcribed spacer 1
Rfam family: Eukaryotic small subunit ribosomal RNA (bases 1-46)
Source: RNAcentral